This 28-nucleotide non-coding RNA is filed under the name Drosophila melanogaster (fruit fly). Lineage: Eukaryota; Metazoa; Arthropoda; Insecta; Diptera; Drosophilidae. The record is from RNAcentral. RNAcentral also lists the same sequence under 3 other names.
CCAGCAGCCGCGGUAAUUCCAGCUCCAA